GAGUUUGAUCGUGGCUCAGAUUGAACGCUGGCGGCAGGCCUAACACAUGCAAGUCGAGCGGUAGAGAGAAGCUUGCUUCUCUUGAGAGCGGCGGACGGGUGAGUAAUGCCUAGGAAUCUGCCUGGUAGUGGGGGAUAGCGUUCGGAAACGGACGCUAAUACCGCAUACGUCCUACGGGAGAAAGCAGGGGACCUUCGGGCCUUGCGCUAUCAGAUGAGCCUAGGUCGGAUUAGCUAGUUGGUGAGGUAAUGGCUCACCAAGGCGACGAUCCGUAACUGGUCUGAGAGGAUGAUCAGUCACACUGGAACUGAGACACGGUCCAGACUCCUACGGGAGGCAGCAGUGGGGAAUAUUGGACAAUGGGCGAAAGCCUGAUCCAGCCAUGCCGCGUGUGUGAAGAAGGUCUUCGGAUUGUAAAGCACUUUAAGUUGGGAGGAAGGGUUGUAGAUUAAUACUCUGCAAUUUUGACGUUACCGACAGAAUAAGCACCGGCUAACUCUGUGCCACG
This 508-nucleotide ribosomal RNA is filed under the name uncultured microorganism. Its description in RNAcentral is "bacterial SSU rRNA". It matches the Rfam family "Bacterial small subunit ribosomal RNA", at positions 9 to 512 of the family's 1533-position model. The record is from RNAcentral.